UCAACCCUCACAUCGUACGAUAAGCACUCAUAUUAGGAGCUCAUACAGUGGAUCUAUGCUCCAUCAGGUAGAAGAAGGGAGCCAGCAAUUAAAAUGUUCUAAUUCUGUUGUGAUUCCUGAUCCCAAUUCAGCUGUUUUCGAUCGUGAUUUGAUUCGAUUCCUUGGCUUAAUAAUCAGCUUGUUUUUAAUUGCUCAUUUGAGGUAAAUAUUUUAUAAUUGGGCCACAAGAUGUCUGCAGCUCAAGAUCCAUUUUAUAUUGUGAAGGAUGAAAUUCAAGAAUCUGGAGGUCAGCUGUGUGAUUACUGAAAUUGGUUCUUCUUUCUUUACCGCUCUCACAUUGGGAUAGCUUUUACUUGUAUGACUGAGCUGAUAGAAAAAGGAUUACAUUGAGACUAGUUUAAUAGAUGUUGGAAAAGGAUGAAUAUAUUGAAGGAAAAUAUGACUGAUGAUUGACAGGCUGUUGUCUACAUUUCAUCAAUGGGAGUGCAUUCCUAAUAGUGGAGAGCAUCAACAACUUGUGAAGGAGCUUCAUUCUGCGUGUGAGAGCAUUUCAUGGCAG
Ipomoea triloba (trilobed morning glory) is the source of this 559-nucleotide long non-coding RNA. RefSeq lists it as uncharacterized. Lineage: Eukaryota; Viridiplantae; Streptophyta; Magnoliopsida; Solanales; Convolvulaceae. The transcript has 4 exons. The record is from RefSeq and is a predicted model, not a curated record.